GUGGGUGUGUUUCCAGUGGACCCACUCUGGGAGAAUAAAAGGAGUGAUACCAGAAAGAACAGGAGCAUCAGGAAGAGAGAAAUAACAGAGAGAUGAGAAACUUGAGGUCCAGUGAAGUGAAUGACUUGCGCGAGGCACUAAAGUCGAGAAGAGGAGGAAGAGAGCCGUGGGCCUAGAGCAGCUGCUCCUGCAGCCAGGGAGCAUUUCCUCCCACCAUCAACCUGUGAGUGCGGCGCUCUCCUGCCCUGGGGCCGACCCCACCCAAACAGCUGGAGGUUCCUAGGCAUGGAGCACCAGAGAUGGCAGGCAUCAACCCGUCAACCACUGCUGAAACCAAGACGGAAGCUCACGGGGAUCUGGAAAGACCGUCUUCAUGUGUCUGGAAGGUGAAGCAAUGAAAUUCCUGACAUCGCAACAAGGCUGUGUCCAUCCCUACAUUUUGUGUCCACAUCUGUCAUUUAAUAAAGCAACUACAUUCUCUUUUCAA
This is a long non-coding RNA of Callorhinus ursinus (northern fur seal), 487 nucleotides long. RefSeq lists it as uncharacterized. The record is from RefSeq and is a predicted model, not a curated record. Lineage: Eukaryota; Metazoa; Chordata; Mammalia; Carnivora; Otariidae.